GACGAACGCUGGCGGCGUGCCUAAUACAUGCAAGUAGAACGCUGAAGGAGGAGCUUGCUUCUCUGGAUGAGUUGCGAACGGGUGAGUAACGCGUAGGUAACCUGCCUGGUAGCGGGGGAUAACUAUUGGAAACGAUAGCUAAUACCGCAUAACAGUAGAUAUCGCAUGAUAGUUGCUUAAAAGGUGCAAAUGCACCACUACCAGAUGGACCUGCGUUGUAUUAGCUAGUUGGUGAGGUAACGGCUCACCAAGGCAACGAUACAUAGCCGACCUGAGAGGGUGAUCGGCCACACUGGGACUGAGACACGGCCCAGACUCCUACGGGAGGCAGCAGUAGGGAAUCUUCGGCAAUGGACGGAAGUCUGACCGAGCAACGCCGCGUGAGUGAAGAAGGUUUUCGGAUCGUAAAGCUCUGUUGUAAGAGAAGAACGAGUGUGAGAGUGGAAAGUUCACACUGUGACGGUAUCUUACCAGAAAGGGACGGCUAACUACGUGCCAGCAGCCGCGGUAAUACGUAGGUCCCGAGCGUUGUCCGGAUUUAUUGGGCGUAAAGCGAGCGCAGGCGGUUAGAUAAGUCUGAAGUUAAAGGCUGUGGCUUAACCAUAGUACGCUUUGGAAACUGUUUAACUUGAGUGCAAGAGGGGAGAGUGGAAUUCCAUGUGUAGCGGUGAAAUGCGUAGAUAUAUGGAGGAACACCGGUGGCGAAAGCGGCUCUCUGGCUUGUAACUGACGCUGAGGCUCGAAAGCGUGGGGAGCAAACAGG
This 763-nucleotide ribosomal RNA is filed under the name uncultured Streptococcus sp. Its description in RNAcentral is "bacterial SSU rRNA". It matches the Rfam family "Bacterial small subunit ribosomal RNA", at positions 28 to 776 of the family's 1533-position model. The record is from RNAcentral. Lineage: Bacteria; Bacillati; Bacillota; Bacilli; Lactobacillales; Streptococcaceae.